RNAcentral lists this ribosomal RNA (390 nucleotides) under Triticum aestivum (bread wheat). Its description in RNAcentral is "partial small subunit ribosomal RNA". The record is from RNAcentral. Lineage: Eukaryota; Viridiplantae; Streptophyta; Magnoliopsida; Poales; Poaceae.
AUGUUGGACACGCCGACGAGCCCGCCGGGCGGCGGCUUCGGCAGCAUCAGGGAGCAGGACAGGAUCCUGCCCAUCGCCAACAUCAGCAGCAUCACGAAGAAGGCCAUCCUGGCCAACGGCAAGAUCGCCAAGGACGCCAAGGAGACCGUGCGAGAGUGCAUCUCGGAGUUCAUUGCUUCAUCGCCAACGAGUGAGGCGAGCGACAAGUGCUAGAGGGAGAAGUGCAAGACCAUCAACAUCGAUGACCUGCUCUGGGCGAUGGCCACGCUAGGCUUUUAGGAGUACAUUGAGCCCCUCAAGGUUUAUCUGUAGAAUUACAGAGAGGUGCAUGCCCAUUUAGCCAUGUGGGAUUUUUUAUCUGAACUAAUUGGGGAUGGAUUAGUGCUUUGA